UCCUAUGAAUACCCUCCCUCUCUCAAACUCUCUUGAAGGUUCUUUAAACCCUAAUCGUCUUCUACCAUUUUCAACCUCAAUCUCACUAGGAGCCAUGGCCUGUCAGGCCAUGGAUGGCCUAUGCUCACCUUCCUACACUUUAAAUUAUUGGUGCUUGAAGUUUCGUGGUCUAACCUCGAUGAUGUUCGUUUAAAGCUUCUCCGAUUCAAGGUUUCAUGGCCUCUCCUGCCUUGCUCCGGCGUAUCCAAAGCAUUUCGAGCCUGGUUCAGACUCAUCCAACUCAAGAUCAAACCUUUUUCAAGCCUUUCUCAUUCUAGGGUUCCUCUAAAACCCUAGCUAUUCGAGGUUUUCUCUGAUUUUUUUCUUCAACCAGUUCUAUGUCUGUGCUAUACUUGAGUUUUAAAAUAUUUUCCCCAAUUUUUCUUUCAAAAAUUACUUCUCUCCUAUUUAGGGUUUCUGAAAAGUUCAAAAUGUUUCUCCGACUUUUCUUUACCUUUUUCUUUGUGUAUAUUUGUCACGCAUGUGAUUCUACUUCUUUAUUAAGUUUUCCACUAUAUAUGUUCUUCUGUGCCUUGUCUUUCUACUAUAUUUAUACACAAUGCUCACAUGUUCAUCCUGCUGUGCUUUCCUAUACGUCUUGUUGAUAUACUUUUCUAGUAUUUUGUGUUCUCCUACUGUAUGUAUUUCCUACCGGGUUCUUAUGUUCUUUGUUUGCCUUUUACUGGACCUUGUUUGAGUUCUAUUUAAACAUAUUUCUUCCACUAUUUUCUUAAGCGUUAUACUUCCUCUUUUCUAUUUUGAACUUGUUUAAGUCCCAGGUUGUUUUUUUCUUAAACAUGUUCUUUCUACCCUCACUAUGCUUCAAAUCAUUUUCUUCACUUUGUUGUUUCAAACUUGCUAUUUUAUCUGAAUUUUUUCUUAUGAGUCUCUGAAAGAGACCUCUGAGCAUGUUUCAAUUAGUUGUCUCCUCGUCUCUGUAUUUUAUUCGAGUUGGAAACCCUAAGAUUUGGGGGUUUUGGCGUGUUUUGAUCUUGUGUUUGGACUAGGGUUGUAUUUUGGAACCAUGGACUCUCUCAGACUCAUUCUCUGUCUAUGAACUAAGCUUGAACUUCUUUGUUUAUGACUCUAAACUUUUUCUAUGCUAGACUCUUCUACUGAUUAGCAUGACAGUUCUUCAUGCUUAAGCAUGGCUGUAUGUUUUGAUAUGCGUGAUGAUUUCUUUCUUCCGAAAAGGUUUUCAACAUAUGAUUGAUUCAUUAUCCUCUUUUAGGUUUAAUUGAUUAAUACUGAUUUUCCUUAAGUCAAGAUCUUUCCCAUCUUCUUGACCGGGUUCAUUCAGAUGAAAUCUUCAACUUCUUAUUUUACUGGAUGUUGAUUGAUUGGCUUUCCUUAUUUUCACUAAUCGUGUGCUAUCAUAAUUUUUCCUUAAAUAAAUCUCUGUGUAUUUACCCUUCUUGUACUGCUAUGGAAAAGGAUUUGAUCAAUCUUCUUCCUUAAUUAUUUUUUACCCAUUUGAAAUCAGAAUCCAUUAAUUAAAGUUAAACUUUUGUAAUUGACUUCAAAUGAUUCUCCUACCUUAUUUUGCUGGCCUUCUACACUAUAAGAAGGGAAUGAUUCCUUUCUCACCAACACACUCUCAAUUCAACACUUUUACACACAUAAUCUCAUGGCUCUCUUCUAAGAUCUUCUGACUAUUUCCUUGCAAUUUGGCUUUACAAGACUACUGAUUUCUUUUUUUGUUUCCAUGAAACUGGUUGUUCUAAUUUAGUUCUCAACCUCAUCCCAAUGUGUUUAUUUUACAAUUUCUACAAUCCUAUCUACUUUGAUGCUAAGCUUAAUGUUAAAUAUGUAUGUUGUUCUCUGUGCAUCUGUUUCUGCUGUAUAUCCCUGUACCCCUAUUCCCUUCUAUGUUUUUGAGUUAAAGUUCUUAACAUGGAAACAUCCAAAUUGUUGCUCACUUCCGGACUUGAUCUUUUAAGGGAUCCUAACUCCCAAACAAUGUGGCUAACAGGCUGGUUGGGGUGUUCCAGCACUUCCAUUUGCUGGGUAUGACCACCAGCAUGUCUUGGCUUUCACCGAAAUCCCCUCUAUGCACUUAUACUAUCUCAUAGAUUCCAAGUUCUGCCCCACUUCUAUGAGCCUUGCUUUGGGACCUUGAGUUCCCCCUGAACUUGGAUAUUUGGGGACUGGCCCUUCCACACUGCUCUAUAACUCAAUUAUGCAAUAUAUUUAGGUGUAAGUACAUCUGGAGUCCACUUGAGACAUCUAAGGAACUCUGACAUAUCUCAAAAAUGAGAAAGAGUUUGUAAAUUUGAUCUUUGGAAUUGGUUUACUUCAUGCUUCAGACAGAAGUCUGAAUCAGGCUCUCCUUGGUUGGAGUUUUAGCUUUCUGAUGUAAUUUGUUUUUUCCUUUUCUUAUUCAUUCUGGGCAAUAAUACUCUACUAAUAACUUAUGGGGUUUUAGUGAAUAGGGGAGGUCAAAUCAUGCAUGCAAAGGGGUAGAGAUCAUGUCUAUAGGUAAUUUGUAUUUCUGCACUUGUACCUUGCUUACAACUUUCACUUCUGCAUUAUAUAGAAACCAUGCCUAUAGGAUCCACAUUUCAUAUAUAGAAACCAUAUCUGCAGGUUUUACAUUUUCAAAUAGAAAUCCUAUUUAUAGGUCUUGCAUUUUCAUAUAGAAAUCAUGUUUAUAGAUUCUGCAUUUUCAAAUAGAAGCCAUGUCUAUAAGUUUUGCAUUUUCAUAUAAAAACUAUGUCUGUAAAUUUCUGCCUUUCUGUAUUAUCUAGAGAACAUGUAUAUAGGUUUUGUAUUUCAUAACACUACAUAUCAUAUAGAUAACCUAUCUAUAGGACUUCCUGAAUUCUGCAUAUACAUCCGAUUUGAUAAACCCAAUUUCGUGAGAAAAAGGGGGUGCAACAUACCUGAUCUUAUCUGCAACCAUAAAUCUCUAUGUACUAGAACUAUUGAGUCUUGAUCCAUAUUAGAAACCAUGUCUAGUCUACAUGCUUAUUCUGGAGACCCACCGAGGUCAUUUCUGCUGUUCAGUUAUCCGCUUACAUUGAAAUUACAUACUAAGUCAUACGUAUUCAUAUGCAUAUCAUAUCACAGUCUCUGUUGACAUUUGUUGGUAGAUAACAUCAUUAUUUUUGGUCUGGUUUUUCAAGACAUUGAGAGCCCUAGAGAUCGGAGAGAUUGAUAACUGAGUGAGGAUGAGGGCUUGAUGGUGAGGAUGUUUGUGGGAUCAAGCUUUAUGCAACAGCAUGUUUUUUUGAUUUAUGCCAUGAUUAACUUAUUAUAGUGCUUGGGCUGAAAGAACCCCUCCGGAGUCUGCACACACCCCUAGUGAGCGCAGGUACCUACCUAGUACGGGUGCCAAGUGCGAGUACCGUGUGAUGAGUGACCAUGAGGACUGAGUGGUUGUGAGGAGUGAGUGACUAGGAGAACCGAGUAAAUUGAUACUCUGAGAGCAUGCAUAUGCUUUUAUCAUUAAGUUGCAUCAUAUUCGACAUGCACACUUGACAUACAUGCAUGCAGAUGUAUUUUUUUCAUGCUAUACAGUAUCGCGUCAUUUAUGAUUUCUCACACAUAUUGACAUUAAGGCAAAAAGAUGUGUUUUUCUCGUGCCAUUUGAAAAUGAAACAUAUAAUUGUUGAAAUCUUUGGAAAGAACUUAGAGUAUUAAAAUUAACUCAUAUUUUGGCAAUUUCAAAAAAGGAUUUGGUUUUUCACUGAUAUACAUAAAAAGCAGGCCUAUUUUCCAGAACUGUGAACGAGCUGAGGAUUUUAUCUCUGCAUUACUUCUUUUAUUACUUUCAUAAUGUUGUUAUGAACUGUUGUUGGCUAAUGUUGUUGGACUCCAACCUUCGUUCCAGCUCUUCACUACUUUUAACCUAAGGUUGCGUUUGAUACUUAUUGAGUACAUGGGGUCGGUUGUACUCAUAAUACACUUCUGCACCUUGCUUGCAAAUGUUGGAUGGUGAUGUUGUUGUAUUCGAUUGGAGCUGGAUUUGAAGAUGUACCUGCAUUCUAGUUAUAGAUGCCACUUGUUCAUGGUAGCCCUAGACUUAUGAAUGAUCUAUUCAUCUAUAUUUCAAACAGAUGAUGUACUUUAUUUCAC
Molecule: long non-coding RNA, 4116 nt
Filed under: Nicotiana benthamiana
Lineage: Eukaryota; Viridiplantae; Streptophyta; Magnoliopsida; Solanales; Solanaceae
Description: long non-coding RNA (NBEN_LNC006442)
Source: RNAcentral